UACGUAGGGGGCAAGCGUUGUCCGGAAUCAUUGGGCGUAAAGAGCGUGUAGGCGGCUCGAUAAGUCUGCUGUGAAAGUCCAGGGCUCAACCCUGGAAGGCCGGUGGAAACUGUCGGGAUAGAGUCCGGAAGAGGCGAGUGGAAUUCCCGGUGUAGCGGUGAAAUGCGCAGAUAUCGGGAGGAACACCAAUGGCGAAGGCAGCUCGCUGGGACGGUACUGACGCUGAGACGCGAAAGCGUGGGGAGCAAACAGG
This 253-nucleotide ribosomal RNA is filed under the name uncultured bacterium. Its description in RNAcentral is "partial 16S ribosomal RNA". It matches the Rfam family "Bacterial small subunit ribosomal RNA", at positions 524 to 776 of the family's 1533-position model. The record is from RNAcentral.